CCCCAAAUUGAAAGGUUGAUGAGGGACAUUGUAAUAACUUGAACAAUGUAUGGUUGAUAUUACGGCAAUUAGAGAUGCUGAGAUUAUUUACAAAUUAAGAUAAAAUGCAAGAUGUUAUUUAAUUUUUAUCUAUGAUUUAAAAUCUAUGCAAUAAUAAUUAACAUGUGGAUCAUCCAUUUUAAAUGUUUGCUUUAAUUAUUUUAAUAUAUCAAAAAAAAAUUAUUUUUAAUAUAUGCAUAUGGUUUUAUAAAACAUAUGCAUUAGCUAUUUAAGAUAUAUAUGCACAGCGAAUUUGAAAUGCAUGCAUUAGCAUAAUCU
This 318-nucleotide long non-coding RNA is filed under the name Elaeis guineensis (African oil palm). RNAcentral's name for it is "long non-coding RNA (EGUI_LNC000054)". The record is from RNAcentral. Lineage: Eukaryota; Viridiplantae; Streptophyta; Magnoliopsida; Arecales; Arecaceae.